Molecule: ribosomal RNA, 224 nt
Filed under: uncultured bacterium
Lineage: Bacteria
Description: partial 16S ribosomal RNA
Rfam family: Bacterial small subunit ribosomal RNA
Source: RNAcentral
AACGAACGCUGGCGGCGUGCCUAACACAUGCAAGUCGAGCGAGAAAGUUCCCUUCGGGGAGCGAGUACAGCGGCGAACGGGUGAGUACAACGUAGGUAACCUACCCCCGAGACUGGGAUAACCUGUCGAAAGACGGGCUAAUACCGGAUAAGACCACGAGGGCUGCGGCCCUUGGGGUAAAAAGUGGCCUCUGCUUUGCAAGCUACUACUCGAGGAGGGGCCUG